GGCGGCAGGCUUAACACAUGCAAGUCGAGCGGAAACGAUGAUAGCUUGCUAUCAGGCGUCGAGCGGCGGACGGGUGAGUAAUACUUAGGAAUCUACCUAGUAGKGGGGGAUAGCUCGGGGAAACUCGAAUUAAUACCGCAUACGACCUACGGGAGAAAGGGGGCARYUURYUGCUCUCGCUAUUARAUGAGCCCUAAGUCGGAUUAGCUAGAUGGUGGGGUAUAGGCCUYCCAUGGCGACGAUCUGUAGCUGGUCUGAGAGGAUGAUCAGCCACACCGGGACUGAGACACGGCCCGGACUCCUACGGGAGGCAGCAGUGGGGAUUAUUGGACAAUGGGGGCAACCCUGAUCCAGCCAUGCCGCGUGUGUGAAGAKGGCCUUUUGGUUGUAAWGCACUUUAAGCAGUGAAGAYGACUCCGUGGUUAAUACCCAUGGACGAUGACAUUAGCUUGCAGAAUAAGCACCGGCUAACUCUGUGCCAGCAGCCGCGGUAAUWCAGAGGGUGCAAGCGUUAAUCGGUAUUACUGGGCGUAAAGCGAGCGUAGGUGGCUUGGAUAAGUCAGAAGUGAAAUCCCCGGGCUUAACCYGGGAACCGCAUCUGAUACUYGUUWGGCUWGWRUWGGUGWGUGGAARGGUWGWAUUCCAGGUGUAGCGGUGWAAUGCGUAGWGAUCUGGWGGAAUACCGAUGGCGAAGYAKCUUCUUGKCAUCAUAUYGACRCUUGAGAUCGAARCGUGGGUAGCAKMAAGAUAGAUACCCUSUAGUCACSCGUAACRAUGUCUWCUAUCSUUGGUCCUYUGAGAAYAUUGACASCUACSAUAGUACGCUGAGUACGGCAGUAGCAUGACACUGCGCGCACCGACUGUAU
RNAcentral lists this ribosomal RNA (866 nucleotides) under Psychrobacter sp. Its description in RNAcentral is "partial 16S ribosomal RNA". It matches the Rfam family "Bacterial small subunit ribosomal RNA", at positions 38 to 848 of the family's 1533-position model. Lineage: Bacteria; Pseudomonadati; Pseudomonadota; Gammaproteobacteria; Moraxellales; Moraxellaceae. The record is from RNAcentral.